Long non-coding RNA from Helianthus annuus (common sunflower), 1555 nucleotides. RefSeq lists it as uncharacterized. The record is from RefSeq and is a predicted model, not a curated record. The transcript is spliced from 4 exons. NCBI's taxonomy places the organism in Eukaryota, Viridiplantae, Streptophyta, Magnoliopsida, Asterales, Asteraceae.
AGUUAACGGGACCCGAAAUAAACUUAAUCAUAAAUAUUCUCGAACCCGCAAAGUUAACUAGGAAUAUUAAAUCUAGUUAAUAAGUGGGGAAUAUUGUUAGAAAUAAGUAGGUUGUGCCCUACUUAAUUAACUAACCAAAUUAGAGGGGCCAAUAUUGUUAAAAUUGAAACUUAACUUUAAUUAAUUAAAUAAAACACACCAAACACCCCACAAGGAGGUGUCUGGUCGUACAAGAAGAACAGGGGGGCGAUCCCCACACAUCAAAACCCUAAAUCUUCACCAAACUUGCAAAUUGAAGGCUCAAUCCAAGUCAAAAUCGAAAAUCAAGCAUAGAUUAUUGAUCCCCAUGGCAAGAGGGUUGUAAGUUUGACUCUUGACAAGCUAGAUGGAGGCUUGGGAAUGAAGCGGGUCAAACGGAGCAAGUACGAAAAGGAAAGCGUAAUUUGGAUGCGAGGUAAGUAAAACUUACACCUAAUUGUAGUAUACGUGUUUAUUUUAUAGGCGAUAAAUACAACAAAGGAUUUGGUUCGAAUUAUGGGUUCCAACACAAAACGAAUUGGGUUGGAACGAAUAGAAACGUUUUAAACCAUGAUUAAUGGUGAAAAAGGCAAAACGGUAAACUAGUCAUGAAUUGGUUAAUAGUUUAAGAGUUUUCUUAAAGUUACCUUAUAGCGUAACUAGUAAUGGAAAAUGAGUAAGAAUGGAAAUUUAGUCAAGUAUUGACUAAAGUAAAAUAAGUUUCAAAGGACACCCAUAGCAUAAGCCGAAUGGGUUAAAAAUAUAGGAAAUUGACUUUAGAAAGAAAGGGAUCUAGUGAGAAAAUCCGAAAUGGUUCGGAUGUGUGAUUGGUAAUUAAAAACCAUGUUUUUGUUACAUAUGAAAACGUUGGGUUAUAUAGACCGAACGGGUCAAAUGGUGGGAAUAACGUCAUUUGACAAAAUCAACUAAUGUGGUGGUCAAGUCAUGUGUUACAGGAGCGAAUAGUAAUUUGGAUAAUUGCGUCGCCAUAGAAUAUCGGUCAUAAAAGCAAGGUGUUGAAAAGGGUCACUAGGGUGACUCGAGCCAGGUGAAUGUCGAGGGUCCCGGAUGAAGAUCGAGCAUCGAGCAAGAACCGAACACACAUUAAAUAAAGCUUCCGCAACGUUGUUUUGUCGUUAUUCUAAACGGCGAUUUAAAUCACAUUAUGUAUAUCACUUAAAUUGUAAAAGUUUUUAACCAACCCGUAUUUCCGAUGUAUAUAUAAUCAUUAAUUACAUGAUUAUUUUCGCAAAAUAUACGUUAAGCCUUGAUUUAUAAGAACGGGUCUUACAAGUUGGUAAUCAGAGCUCAAGGUUGUUGACAAAAUGUGUUCGGUUCGAGGCUUGAUCGCAAAUCCGGACACUCGCGUUGAAGACGACGAGAGUCAAACGAACUGUGGAUACGAUGAUGGAACGAUCCGAAGUAUGACAAGAGGAGCAUGCUCACCGAGGACUAAAUCGCGUAAAGACCGCGAACAAGGUUAAUGGCAAGGAACGCCUGUCGGGGCAAACAUUACCAGGUGCACAUUUUAAAUAAU